CCUACGGGAGGCAGCAGUGGGGAAUAUUGGACAAUGGGCGAAAGCCUGAUCCAGCCAUGCCGCGUGAGUGAUGAAGGCCCUAGGGUUGUAAAGCCCUUUUGUGCGGGAAGAUAAUGACGGUACCGCAAGAAUAAGCCCCGGCUAACUUCGUGCCAGCAGCCGCGGUAAU
Molecule: ribosomal RNA, 169 nt
Filed under: uncultured bacterium
Lineage: Bacteria
Description: partial 16S ribosomal RNA
Rfam family: Bacterial small subunit ribosomal RNA
Source: RNAcentral